This 321-nucleotide ribosomal RNA is filed under the name uncultured yeast. RNAcentral describes it as "partial large subunit ribosomal RNA". It matches the Rfam family "Eukaryotic large subunit ribosomal RNA", at positions 40 to 358 of the family's 3401-position model. The record is from RNAcentral. Lineage: Eukaryota; Fungi.
AUAUCAAUAAGCGGAGGAAAAGAAACCAACAGGGAUUGCCUUAGUAACGGCGAGUGAAGCGGCAAUAGCUCAAAUUUGAAAUCUGGCGUCUUCGGCGUCCGAGUUGUAAUUUGUAGAAGGUAUCUUUGGUGUUGGCCCUUGUCUAUGUUCCUUGGAACAGGACGUCACAGAGGGUGAGAAUCCCGUGCGAUGGGGUGUCCAAUGCUAUGUAAAGUUCCUUCGAAGAGUCGAGUUGUUUGGGAAUGCAGCUCUAAGUGGGUGGUAAAUUCCAUCUAAAGCUAAAUAUUGGCGAGAGACCGAUAGCGAACAAGUACCGUGAGG